GCGCUUGUAGCUCAAUUGGAUAGAGCGUUUGACUACGGAUCAAAAGGUUUCGGGUUCGACUCCUGACAGGCGCACCA
RNAcentral lists this transfer RNA (77 nucleotides) under Bacillota bacterium. RNAcentral describes it as "tRNA-Arg". It matches the Rfam family "tRNA". Rfam says of the family: Transfer RNA (tRNA) molecules are approximately 80 nucleotides in length. Their secondary structure includes four short double-helical elements and three loops (D, anti-codon, and T loops). Lineage: Bacteria; Bacillati; Bacillota. The record is from RNAcentral.